This 253-nucleotide ribosomal RNA is filed under the name uncultured bacterium. RNAcentral's name for it is "partial 16S ribosomal RNA". It matches the Rfam family "Bacterial small subunit ribosomal RNA", at positions 524 to 776 of the family's 1533-position model. The record is from RNAcentral.
UACGUAGGUGACAAGCGUUGUCCGGAUUUACUGGGCGUAAAGAGCGCGCAGGCGGUCGAUCAAGUCGAGUGUGAAAGCCCCCGGCUCAACUGGGGAGGGUCAUUCGAUACUGAUCGACUCGAAGGCAGGAGAGGGUAGUGGAAUUCCCGGUGUAGUGGUGAAAUGCGUAGAUAUCUGGAGGAACACCGGUGGCGAAGGCGGCGUUCUGGACUGCAACUGACACUGAGGAACGAAAGCCAGGGGAGCAAACGGG